RNAcentral lists this ribosomal RNA (468 nucleotides) under uncultured bacterium. Its description in RNAcentral is "partial 16S ribosomal RNA". It matches the Rfam family "Bacterial small subunit ribosomal RNA", at positions 28 to 507 of the family's 1533-position model. The record is from RNAcentral.
GACGAACGCUGGCGGCGUGCUUAACACAUGCAAGUCGAACGGAAAGGCCCUGCUUUUGUGGGGUGCUCGAGUGGCGAACGGGUGAGUAACACGUGAGUAACCUGCCCUUGACUUUGGGAUAACUUCAGGAAACUGGGGCUAAUACCGGAUAGGAGCUCCUGCUGCAUGGUGGGGGUUGGAAAGUUUCGGCGGUUGGGGAUGGACUCGCGGCUUAUCAGCUUGUUGGUGGGGUAGUGGCUUACCAAGGCUUUGACGGGUAGCCGGCCUGAGAGGGUGACCGGCCCCAUUGGGACUGGGAUACGGCCCAGACUCCUUCGGGGGGCAGCAGUGGGGAAUAUUGCACAAUGGGCGGAAGCCUGAUGCAGCAACGCCGCGUGCGGGAUGACGGCCUUCGGGUUGUAAACCGCUUUCGCCUGUGACGAAGCGUGAGUGACGAUAAUGGGUAAAGAAGCACCGGCUAACUACGUG